RNAcentral lists this ribosomal RNA (253 nucleotides) under uncultured bacterium. Its description in RNAcentral is "partial 16S ribosomal RNA". It matches the Rfam family "Bacterial small subunit ribosomal RNA", at positions 524 to 776 of the family's 1533-position model. The record is from RNAcentral.
UACAGAGGUCCCGAGCGUUGUUCGGAUUCACUGGGCGUAAAGGGUGCGUAGGUGGCGUGGUAAGUUUGAUGUGAAAGCUCAGGGCUUAACCCUGAAAUGGCAUUGAAUACUACUGUGCUGGAGGUUUGGAGGGGGGACUGGAAUUCUUGGUGUAGCAGUGAAAUGCGUAGAUAUCAAGAGGAACACCAGUGGCGAAGGCGAGUCCCUGGACAACACCUGACACUGAGGCACGAAAGCUAGGGGAGCGAACAGG